GAUGAACGCUGGCGGCGUGCCUAAUACAUGCAAGUCGAGCGAACGGACGAGAAGCUUGCUUCUCUGAUGUUAGCGGCGGACGGGUGAGUAACACGUGGAUAACCUACCUAUAAGACUGGGAUAACUUCGGGAAACCGGAGCUAAUACCGGAUAAUAUUUUGAACCGCAUGGUUCAAAAGUGAAAGACGGUCUUGCUGUCACUUAUAGAUGGAUCCGCGCUGCAUUAGCUAGUUGGUAAGGUAACGGCUUACCAAGGUAACGAUGCAUAGCCGACCUGAGAGGGUGAUCGGCCACACGGGAACUGAGACACGGUCCAGACUCCUACGGGAGGCAGCAGUAGGGAAUCUUCCGCAAUGGGCGAAAGCCUGACGGAGCAACGCCGCGUGAGUGAUGAAGGUCUUCGGAUCGUAAAACUCUGUUAUUAGGGAAGAACAUAUGUGUAAGUAACUGUGCACAUCUUGACGGUACCUAAUCAGAAAGCCACGGCUAACUACGUG
RNAcentral lists this ribosomal RNA (497 nucleotides) under uncultured bacterium. Its description in RNAcentral is "partial 16S ribosomal RNA". It matches the Rfam family "Bacterial small subunit ribosomal RNA", at positions 28 to 507 of the family's 1533-position model. The record is from RNAcentral.